AAACUUUAAGGCAAAUUCAAGGAGCUCGAAAUUGAUGGAAGAAUCAAGACGGCGAAUCAAGUUCUUCGGGAAGAUCGGCAAAAUUAGGUUUUUCAUAAUUAUUUGUGUAAACCUAUAAUCAAUGUCUUCCUCCUCUGAUUUUGAUUUGUCCUUGGAGAUUAUGAGCAACUAAACUUCUCUUGUUUAGAUUAGAUGAACCCUG
This 202-nucleotide long non-coding RNA is filed under the name Linum usitatissimum (flax). Its description in RNAcentral is "long non-coding RNA (LUSI_LNC003664)". Lineage: Eukaryota; Viridiplantae; Streptophyta; Magnoliopsida; Malpighiales; Linaceae. The record is from RNAcentral.